RNAcentral lists this ribosomal RNA (253 nucleotides) under uncultured bacterium. Its description in RNAcentral is "partial 16S ribosomal RNA". It matches the Rfam family "Bacterial small subunit ribosomal RNA", at positions 524 to 776 of the family's 1533-position model. The record is from RNAcentral.
UACGGAGGGUGCAAGCGUUGUUCGGAAUCAUUGGGCGUAAAGCGCGUGUAGGCGGCUUGGCAAGUCGGUUGUGAAAUCCCGGGGCCCAACCCCGGAACUGCAUUCGAAACUGCCUCGCUAGAGUCCCGGAGAGGAAGGCGGAAUUCCCGGUGUAGAGGUGAAAUUCGUAGAUAUCGGGAGGAACACCAGCGGCGAAGGCGGCCUUCUGGACGGUGACUGACGCUGAGGAGCGAAAGUGUGGGGAGCGAACAGG